Non-coding RNA from Xyrichtys novacula (pearly razorfish), 5916 nucleotides. The record is from the annotation of a GenBank genome assembly. Lineage: Eukaryota; Metazoa; Chordata; Actinopteri; Labriformes; Labridae.
UGCUGAUAUAUUCCUUGGCUGAUUUAAUGACCUGUUUAAUUCUGGCACGUCUGCGUUCCUCUCAGAUGUUUUGCAGUUUUAAUUAGUGUAAUCAACGCUUUUUAAAAGGCCACAGGGAUGUUUAAUGGGUCAUGUUUGUCAAGAUGCAGAGAAUUAUAACACAAAAGACAUGCCAUUUAUUCAGUGCUGCAGUCUUCCCGUGAUUAUGAGUGUCACAAUUGAUAAUUAGUGAAAGAAUUGAUUCAUCUGAAAGUCAGGAUGUCUAUGGUGUGAGGAAAUUACUUUGACAGUGUUUGGAUGAGCUGUGUUUGUUCUGCAGUGCGGCUGCUGUAGGAACACUUCACCACUCAAACCAAUAACCAAGGCAAGCACCAUGCUCACACUCACGGCUGCCUCUGGGUGGGGAGUCAGGAUACUUCUGAGACAGAAGCAACUUUUCAUGGAUUAAAGAGUGGCUAUCAUGUUUCAAACUUCAGGAUUUUGACAGAUGACAUGCAGAAGUUAUUGUCCCAAUUUGAGGCCGAACAGAAGAAAGAGCUUGUCAAACUGUGGAAAUGAGGCCGAGUUAACAUUCACCAUCCACAGUGAUUAAGGCUGAUUCACUGCCCUGCCUCCAGAAUCAAAGUCCAGAGUCGAGUGUGAGGGUUACUUAUACUCACUGUUAAUUAUUUCUCAGUCCAGAUCUCUAAGCAUCAGUUUUAUCAUUUCAAUAACUAAUGGACAAAAAAAUGAAAUGGACUGUCAAUUAAUUUCUUCUUUUGCAAUCAUGAAAUUAUGAAUUAAAACGAUUUCCUAAUGUGCUGAGCAUGCACUCAUCACUAAUUAUGCACUCCUCUUUAUUCUUCAAACCAAGAAUAUCAGUUAGGGCUGACGCAGUGUGCUACCGUCCUGCCUGUCACUAUCAAAACAGAACACAUUGAUAUCGUGUGAAAAUAAGCAAAUGGUAAGACUUUGAGUUCAUAGCUGAGGUAGACAUAAGAAUAAGAGAAUAAGAAGAACUUUAUUAAUCCCUGAAGGGAAAAUGAAUUGUCUGUUGUCUCACAUAAUAUGUCUCUUAAAGUUAUCUACUAUUUACACAAGAGUUAUAAAGCCUGAUGGCUGUUGGUACAAAAGAUCUUCUGAAUCAUUCUGUCCUGCAGCGAAGAGAGAGGAGCCGUCCACCACCAUUGGCCCUUUGGUCCAUCAAGGUGCUGUGAAGUGGGUGAUCCAUGUUCUUGAGAAUAGACUCCACCUUCCUCAGUGUAGAUCUCUCCACCACAUCCUCCACUGAGUCCAGCUUGAGUCCAACCACAGAGCCAGCCUUUUCACCAGUUUGUUCAGACAUCAUGCAUCUUUGUGUUUCAAGUUCAAGUUUCAAGUUUCUUUAAUCGCCACACAGCUAGGCCGGUGGAAUUUUUCACAGUGCAGGUGGUAGCUGCGACAAUACACCACGUUAAUUUAAACAGACAUUGAACAGUUUACAGUGACAAGACAUGACAUAACAUGUGAAACGGGGUACCACGGGACAUAAAACAUAAAACACAGACUUCACACACGUUGACCAUAGGAGUUAAGCAGUCGUAUGGCAAGGGGGAAGAAGGAGUUACUGUAGCGCUUUGUUGAACCGCCCAGAGAUCCUCCUCCCUCCCCAUGCUUCCUCCCCAGCAGACUGCAGCCUAGAACAGCACACUUGCCACCACAGACUGAUAAAACAUCUGCAGCAUCUUACUACAGCUGUCUAUUGAUAGGAGUCUUCUCAGGCAAAAGAGGCGGCUCUGCCCCUUUCUGUAGAUGAAGUCUAUAUUCUUAGACCAGCCCAACUUAUUAUCUAAAUGUACACCCAGGUAUAAGAAAAUAUGUCAAAAUAAAAGCAUGAAAAACAGUCGAUGAAUAAGGCAAUGUCUCAUCUAAAGAAGUUUCAGUGAGACUGCCAUCAAUGUGGAGAAGUCAUGAAUUUUAACAUAAUUAGAAAUGAAUGAUGAGAAGUUAAAUGUAUGUGUUUAAAUUUCCCAUAAACAUCAGGAUAAUAUUGUUGCUGUGAUAUUUUAUGGCCAUAAUUAUUAUUAUUAUUAUUUUUUUAUUAAGUUUCAUGCUUCCACACAAGGGUUUUCCAAACAGUACAAUAGCAAUACAUAUCAUAACAUAACAUACGUAAUUUAUCACGAUCUACAUUCUACCAUGGUGGUGCUGGAAUAACAUGAAACCUUUAUACAUUUGUACACCAACACAAGAAGAACAAAAUAAAACAAAACAAAACAAAAACAUGCAGUAAACUGUUACUGUUUCACCUUACUGUUGUCAUUAGCUAGUGUCUUUUCUGUUGUCAAGUAGUAAUUAUCAUGGCCAUAAUUAUCAUGGAGCGAAAAUCUGAUAUUGUGACAGCCAUAAUAUGUGUGAUCUCACAUGAUGUGGCCAAAUACAUCACAAUUUAAAAUACUGUUGUGAUAUUUAUGAAAAAACAACACAGUGAGUAAAACAGAAAGAGGGUAAAAUAAGGGUGGAGCAACAUCAUAUGUGUGUUUAUAAUGAUAGAAAGUCCAUUAUAUUGACUAGUAAACACAGUCAGUUUAUAUGUCAUCAUCUAUUUCUAAUUAUGUCCAUGUUUAUGCUUAUUGCUCUAUAUCACUAUCCGUGUAACUGAAACUUCAUACGAGCAGACGUUGCCUCAUAAAAAGAUUUUUUUGGUGUGCUUUUAUUUUAAUUUUCUAAAACUAUGUUUUUUAUGAUGUUUAUUUGUUUUCUUAUGUCCCAAAUUUUAUAAUUAAGCUUUUAUUUUGAAGAGUGACUUAGGAACAGUUAAAGGAAUGGCCCAAGGUUGCAUUUGGUUCACAACAAAUCCUUUAAUGUCAGUUGUAAAAGUUCCUGAUCAUCUGGGUUUCUGGUUUUAUAUCAACACAGCGCAGACAUUAAAUCCUAUUCUAUCUUAAGACUGGACAGCAUGAUCUAGAGCAGCUGGAGGGGAUUUAUACUGAGCAAAUGCCUUUAAUGGUGUAAUUAACAUUACCUUGAUUUGUCCCAGGAAAGGCCUCAGUGAGUCGGUCCUGUGUGGUAAUUUAUUGCAGAGUUCCUAUGAAGAACACUCACCCAGUGUACAGCGGGUAAUUGCACACUGGCUUGAUUGUAAAGGGGGAACAGCCCUGGUCUAUUAGUGAUCAGUUUAUAACAUCGAGACUGGGGUUUGUCUGUCACAAAGUGGAGCGACAUUCAACCCUUGGAUCUUUUUUUUUUUUCACACUUCCAUAAAAAAAUUAAACUAAAUAGCAGAUAAAGAGAUAAGAUGGAGCAUUGUUCUCUGCAAUCUUUAUAUCCUUAAUGUGUUUUCUCAGAAAUCAAGUUUUCAAUUUGACAAACAUUUAUGUAAAAUACACAUAUAAGCAACGUAAGUAUAUUAUUUACCAGGAUUCCAUGACAGGUCAUUGUUAGUGAUGAAAAAGUCAGGGUAGAUUUAUUAAAUAAAGAGCUAACUCUUUUUUGGACUUGUGUUAAAAGUCACUUUGUGGCAGAUUUAAAAACACAGAUGCAAUGAUAAAUGCCAUAGGUUGGUGUGUGGGCUCAUAUGUUUCGUGACACCUCAGUGGUGCCAGUGCUGAGGUUGGGCCACCUCAGUCCAAAAGGUCUGACACAAUCCUACCUCUCCACCUACUGUAGUUCAUUACUUUGGCUGAAGGACAGAUGGGUCCAUACCUACUGGAGGGUUCCUGCAGGUUAAAGUUGGAUAACUUUUCAAGGAUGUGUCCAUUUAAGUCAGUGUGGCUCACCCAGAGGCUGUUGCUGCUUCUGCCUUUCCCUAGCAAGUGGUGCAGCCUACAUGGCAUCUGUACUUUGGGCUAGGUCCCAUUCAGACACCACUGGAACAGCCUCUCAGGGCAGGUGGACAGUUGGACCUGGGCUCAAACCUCCAACCUUCAGAUUGAGAUGUCUGAGUCAAUCACUGAACCACCACCCACCACCUCUGGUGUGUGUGUGUGUGUGUGUGUGUGUGUGUGUGUGUGUGUGUGUGUGUGUGUGUGUGUGUGUGUGUGUGUGAGAGAGAGAGAGAACAAUCUUUCACACCUACAAUUCUUUCCAUCCUGUAAUAAACUGACCGACCGACUGACUAAGCGCACCAUGUUUCCUCAAACCUUCAGUCACUGCACUGUUGUCCUCUGCAAGCACUACUGUUGGCCUAUUGAACAGAGGGUUGUCUAACUGUCAGGGCAGGCCAGAUGAGCAAGGAACCAAUUUGUGGCCAAACCCCAGGAAACUACAAACUCUCAGAAGUAAUUCCCUCUAUUCUAAUUCCUUAAAACCUUGUCUCAACACAAACAAUAGCAAGGCUUUGUAAAAGUGACUCUAAAACCUCUGCCAAGCAUAAUUUAUCAUUUGAAUGACAAUGGACCACUUAGCACAGCUUAAAUUAUUUCAGUGCUCUAUCUCUUCUUGACUGUCUUUGUGUUGUAACAGCGGACGAUCAUUAACGCCACAGGGUGAUUCGGUGCGCUCUUAUCUCAGACUUGGUCCUCAGAGUUUACUCAGAUAGAAACUGCUCAGCCAUGGCAGCAACAACUUCUGUCUUUAUUCCAAGACAGUUUCAGUCAUGACUUAUUAGAUAGAAGUGUGACAGAAUAAACAAUGAAGAGAGUAAAACUAUAAAGGCUUUGUUAUGUAAGACAUGAAAAUUAGGAAUACACCAAAAAUAUGGCCAGGGUAUCUGUUUGGGCUCUUCUGAAGGAUAAUGACAAUCGGAUAACACUUGACAUAAAUCCUAAGGCUUAAUAACAAUCAUUAUAGUGUAUUAACAACUAACAGCAAUGUUCAUGAAGUGUUUUGAGCAGUCAACAUAAUGUCUUAUGAAGAGAGGGUUUAUAAUGCGUCAUACUUGAACACAAAACUAUCUUUUAAUCUCUACAUUUCAUAACUUAUAACUCCAACAACUUUAUCAAGUUAUAAAAGUUCAUAGAAAACUCAUUCAGGGUAUAAAUAAAAUGAUCCCUUUGUACCAUUUUGACUGAAAUAUCCUUUUUAUUUCAACAAAGUAUGAGCCUUUAAAAUGUUGUCUGUUUUUGUAUGAAUUGUAUAGAGUAAAGCAGACAUUUUUCACUUUAAGAAAGAAGCCUUUUUCAAAACAUGAAUAUUGCUGAAAUUGUGUUUUUUGUCUUUGUUUGAGCCAGUGCCGCUGUGCGUUGGGUAUUGUUACUGUGGUACUUUACUAAAAGCAAAUAAAGGAAGUUAUCAAUGAAUGACUUUGUUAUUCAGGAAUGUGUUUAAUAAGUGUGCGAUUACCUGAAUUAUAAAAUCUUCUAAAAUUAGAAAGAGCCUCUUUCAGUACCACUGUGUUUCAACCACAGCGCAAAAUGGAGCAAACUUACACUUUUUUAUCACCAUUGAGUGGCAGUGUAAACUGCACCCGCUGGAGGACAAAGAUGGAGAGAGUAGUUGAUGGUGUGCAGGGGUGAAGCGUCUUCAUACCAAACUGGUUCAGUACAGGACAAAUGGAUCAGACCGAAGUGUUUUGUUGAUACUGUUCAGCAGCAGUCGAAUCCAUCACAGGACACAAGUUCAACUUGUUACCACAUUUGAAGUGGCACCACACGGAUGUAAACAUUAAGAAUAAAAAUAACUUUAUUUUAUCCCGAAGGGAAAUUCAAUAUUACUGUCAUUACUGUCACAAGGAAAAAGUUGCUGUUGUUCAAAUACAGCUGCCUCUGACAUUUCAACAGACAUUACCUCUGUGAUUCAGAGCAGGUGGUGGUGGGGUUUAAUAUCCUUAUUUUCAUCCAAAAUGUUAGGAAAGAAAUAAGAGUGGAUCUGUAAGGCUAAAUUACUGCUGCUGCUGCUGCACUUCAGUCAAUGUAAAAGGGAAACUCUGUGAGUUCUUAAUAAAGGUCAAGAGGUUUUUUGCAUAUGUGCGUAUGUUUCUCUUAUUGCACCCAAACUGAACCGAAGUGAGACUUCAAA